UCCUCAGAAUCAGGAUCAGGGCCCCUAAAACUCAGGGGGGGGGGGGUAUUCCCCACUUGACGAUUAUCCAUAAUAAUUUGCUGUCAAAAUUUGAAAUUAUCAUUUCAUCGAAUCAGCUAACCUAUCAAUGCACGUAGCAAGCCUAUGACGAAUCGUGGCCCGUCGCGUCACGCGGCGCCCCCUAUGGACCCCUCGCGUCACGCGAGGGGGUCAAUUUUCAGCUAUAAAUAGCUUGGUUCACAAGCUGUUCGUCUGUGUCAAAACUAAUUCACAAAAGUGAAUUCUGACCACUCAAAAUUCAAAUUUAAGAUAUCGGGGUACUGCUACGAUACCGGGUAUUAACUUGAUCGCUGCUACGAUUCAAUAUCCGAUCGACUGAAACUAUCCAACAGGAUGUUUAAGUGUUAUCCUUUGUCAUUAAUCGUGAUUCCGACAGGAUGUUUGAGUGUCGCCCAAACUCGGGGUGGACUCUGUCAUUCGUUGUGAAUCCGAUGGAUGUUUAAGUGAUUUCAUUUUGUCAUUCGUCGUGAGGGUUUUAGUCUCGUGAAUUUAUCGUAAAUGCUGUAUUAGUUAUUUACCUAGUUUUGUGUGCAUUAUCGCUUAAAUUAGGUUAUCAGGCUUAUCAUUAGACUAAACACUACCCCUUACACUUACAAUCAAAGUAGAUGCUAAUUCUCAAAACAAUCUGAAUCAUGAAGCUUGUCAAUUCAAUACUGCAUGUUUAUAAUGUAAUUACAGUAGAUUGGAGUAAGAAUUGGAUCCGGCACUGAAGGACUUCAAGAAGUGGCUUAUUUUAUUAAUUAAAUCAACUUAAAAAAAUAUUGUUUUUGGGUUUAUCCCGUAUUAAAAGCUACCUUUGUAAAACAUGGAAUUUAUUCCAUCUAUU
This 886-nucleotide long non-coding RNA is filed under the name Helianthus annuus (common sunflower). Its description in RNAcentral is "hypothetical non coding rna". Lineage: Eukaryota; Viridiplantae; Streptophyta; Magnoliopsida; Asterales; Asteraceae. The record is from RNAcentral.